This 596-nucleotide ribosomal RNA is filed under the name Moniliella megachiliensis. Its description in RNAcentral is "partial large subunit ribosomal RNA". It matches the Rfam family "Eukaryotic large subunit ribosomal RNA", at positions 65 to 658 of the family's 3401-position model. Lineage: Eukaryota; Fungi; Basidiomycota; Moniliellomycetes; Moniliellales; Moniliellaceae. The record is from RNAcentral.
UAACCAGGGAUUCCCUACGUAGCGGAGAGCAAAGCGGGAAGAGCCCAGAAUGAAAAGCUCCCGUCAGGGCGCAUUGUAAUCUGGAGACGUGCCUCGUGCGGGGCGGCUGGACUCAAGUCUGCUGGAAAGCAGCAUCGUAGAGGGUGAAAAUCCCGUGCUUGGUCUGGCUCGGCACCGUGUUGUGGGGCGCGCUCGACGAGUCGCGUUGUUUGGGAAUGCAGCGCAAAGUAGGGUGGUAAACGCCAUCCAAGGCUAAAUAUGGGGGAGAGACCGAUAGCGAACAAGUACCGUGAGGGAAAGAUGAAAAGAACUUUGGAAAGAGAGUUAAACAGUACGUGAAAUUGCCAAAAGGGAAGCGUUGGCAGUCAGUACCGCAAGGUGUGCCCUGUCUCUUUGGGUUUUAUCGCCCAAGAUCAAGGGGUGCACGUGGGGCUCAUGUCGGUUUGCGGCGGGGGAGAAGUCUGUGGGGAAGGUGGCUCUUGCUUCGGCAGGAGUGUUAUAGCCCUGCAGCGGAUACUCUGCCUUGCGGACCGAGGCUUACCCCUCGCAAGGGGGGGAAGAACUGGGGCUUAAGGGUUUUCACCGGCCCGCUUAAA